CCCCAUGAGAGUGGAUGCGGCAGUGGCUCUCGUUGACAACGUACAUCAGUAACCUCAAAAGGUCAUUCCUCGCGAACACAUCGCAACGCCGGCUGUAGCGGCAGCCAUCCGGCCGUUCCCCUUUGCCGUGUGGUAGGUCGUCCCUGCUGAAUCUGCAAUCUCCUCCGAUGCCCGUGUUGUUGAGCGGAGUUUCCGCAUCCAGCAACAACGGCGGCUAAUCUUAUCCAUCCCCAUUUUCCCUUGACCCUGUGUUUGUACAAACAGGUGCAUAUCUUUCCUUUGCCUUACCAUGUCCUCUCUCUAUGAAAUAAAUUUUAGGCAUGCAUAGCACGGUUAUCAAAUUACUGUUUCUAAUAUUUUUUCUAGCAAUUAGACUCUUGGAAUUUUCUAUUAUUUGUUAAAUCAGAUCUGAAUUGCUAGGGAAGAAAGAAAGGUUAUAGUAAUUGAUAAAUGCACACACAUCGCACCUACUGAACGAUAUAAAGAUUAGCAAAACCACAUUAGAUGUUCAGUAAUAAUGGAGCUAAGAAAUCAUCAUGCUCUCACCCAUGUGCUCGAAUAGCAGUGUAGUAGAUUCAUUCAUUGUGGCAUAGAACCAUUUAAUCGAAAAGCACUGCAGUAGAAUCAUUGAUAGGGGUUUGUUUGUAUCUUUCAGAAUAAAUUUAAAAUGUCUCACAUUUAAACUAUUUAUUUUAGUUGGAUGCCCUCUAUAAUGUCAAGUAAGUUUACUUUUAUCUUUCAGAAUAAAUUACCAUGUAGAACUAUUUCAAAACAAAAAGAAAAGAUUACUCAUGCCACAUUAGAAACAAUCAUUAACUGUUCUGGUUUUUAGUUUAAACAACUUGCACUAAUUUUACAUGGUUAUGCUUAUGUAUGAAAUCAAUCGAGCAACCUCGCUUCUCGAUGGGGAAUCCUCAGAAGAUAUGUAUCCACCUGAAACAAAUAACAACUUUCUAAAUAUGAUUUUGAGAAACUAAAUUAGGGAAUCUUCCCUGUAAUCACCUUUUGAAAUAUAAACAAUAAAACAGUAGGUGAAAUGGCAUAUAGUACCUAUUAUUUUGUCACGCACGCACAAAUAAUUCAAUCUGCACCUAAAGUCUGAAUAAAAAAUCUUUAUAUGUACGUGCAUGUAAGUAUAAUGAAUAUUUAUUCGACACUUGCAAGAAUCAUAAGAACACAUUCAACAAAUUAAAGAGAAAAAUGUGUACCAUAUACGCACUUGCAGAUUGUAUGACACCAAUCAGAUUGUUCCUGCCGGAAGCAAGCUCACAAACACUAUAUUUGGGUUUGUUAAAUGGAUGCAUCAGAACAUUGAGUUUGCUAGAAAUUCUAAAAUCAUACUAAAUUAAAUAAUGACUAUAGACUAUAUAUGAAUAUAAUAAGAUACCCAAAAGUAAAUAAAUUUCGUUCUGAUAAAAUAUUUCAGAUAUAUCCAUUUGAAACCAAAUAAGGCUGCUAUGUCUGCAUCACAUUAUAUUUAGUCAUAUCAGAAUGCUUGUAACAAUAUCUAUAAUAUAUCUUUGUAAACAAUGUUUUUUGCAACCUUGUCGGAUGGACGCUCUUCAUCUGAUAUGAGUAUCUUCAAUCCAUUUCUGCUGGUCACCCUUGACAUUGCAACAUAGAGUUGUCCAUGUGUGAACACUUGCCUUUCUAAGUAGAGUCCAACUUUUUUGAGAGAUUGCCCCUGGCUUUUGUUUAUAGUCAUCGCAAAGCACACUGAUAUUGGGUAUUGUCUCCUUUUUAGAAUGAAAGGCCAUUUUGAAUCACUUGGUGACAUGAUAAUUCGUGGGAUGUAAACUUUGUCACCAACGUUAGGACCUGUUAUGACAUGUCCUUCAAUGAAACGCUUUCCUAGCUGUGUUAUUGUUAGUCUUGUCCCAUUGCAAAGUCCUGCACUUUGAUUGAUGUUCCUCAUAAGCAUUAUUGGUAAUCCUACUUUCAGCCUCAGUUCAUGGUCUGGAAUUCCAGAAAAUGUAAGACUAUUCAGAAACUCAGUUGGGUACAACAUAUCUUCAUCUUCCACUGUAGACAUUGCCUUGCAUGUUGUAUCUGAACUGAAAUAGGUUACCUCUUCUCCAGGGAUUUGACUCAUGAUGUAUGCAUUAAUCUGGUCAAUAGUCUCGUUUCUUGGGCACAAGAUCGCUCUUUCCUCUAGGUAUGUUCUAUCAGUGUAUUUUCUGUGUAAGUCAGGAUAGGUGGUGUUAACAAUAGAUGCUUUCGGGUCAUCCCCUUCAUGUAAAAUAAGGUCCUCUGGGAUGCCAACCCAAUCCUCUUGAUCUAUUGUUGACGUUGUGCCAUCACCUAUGUUUAGUAUCCAGUUUGCGAAUUCAGCUAUUUUUGCUUUCUCUUCUGGACUACCUUCGGAUGAAUUCAGACACAUAUUUUCUUUGAGUCGGUACUCCUGAAAGUUCUUCCAUAGGUAGGAUCUCUUUAUUGAUGCAGAAAUGAUAUGUUCUCUUUUCCCCUUCGGUAUAACUGGUAGGAUUUGCCUGAAGUCACCUCCCAAGACUACUGUCAUUCCUCCAAAUGGUCUAUUCUCUGCGUCCUCAUAUGUGAACCGAAGUAUGUCUCUCAAACUUUUAUCUAGUGCCUCAAAACAGCGCUUGUGUGUCAUAGGUGCUUCAUCCCAUAUUAUCAGUGACAUUUUCUUUAUUAGCUCCGCAAGAAAUGUUCCUUGCUUGAUGUUGCAUGUGGACUCAUUAGUGAUCUUGAGGGGAAUGUGAAAUCUUGAAUGAGCUGUUCUUCCACCCUGUAAAAGAAGUGCUGCUAUACCACUUGAAGCAACUGCUAGAACUAUUUUUCCUUCAGAUCUUAAUUUUGUCGUGACUGCUUUCCAAAGAAAUGUCUUUCCAGUUCUACCAUAUCCGUCAACAAAAAUCAAUUUCCCAAGACUGUCGUUGACUGAUUCUAUUAUAACGUCAAAAGCCAUCCUCUGAUCCUGAUUUAGCUUAUGCAUUAACUUCAUGUCUCUAUUCUUAAAGAAUCUUUAUCGUAGUUUGGUUCCUCAUUUACUAAUCUAUUAUUUAGAUCUUGAAUAACUGAACUAUAUGGUAGUGGCAUUCUUGGAAAAUCUUUGAGGGACUUACCACCUUUAGUCAACAGUUGUUCUAUCUCUGCCAGGAGCAGGCUCUUUAUUUGUGCCGAGUUGAGUUCCAGGGCCUGAAAAUUGAAUAUUCUUCUUUGCCGACGUUGGAUAUCCUCAGAUAGUAACUCCCAAUUUUUUGCCACAACUUUGCGAGAUCCGUCACCUCAGAAAAUAAAAGUAUUGUGCAGAAAAGUUGGCGCAUUUGAGGAGCAGAGGCCCAAUGGGAUGCUUCCUUCAUGCAGUCAUCCCACUCUUUGUCGUCGUUAAGUAGCCCAAGAGCAUAACAUGCGGCUUUGAAUGUUGGAUGUACAACCCCAUCAACUGUUCGAAUUUCUUCAUAUGAUCUGCAUCCUUUGACGGUAUUUAACAACAUUCUCAAGUAGUAUUUUUCACCGCUCAUUGUUUGUGCAUAGUAAAUCCUGCCUAUGGUUUUUUUCCACCACGCCUUUUCCUCCAUUCUUUCUCUUGUGCAUGCCAAGUCCAUUUGGUUGGAAACUGUGCAUACGUCAAACUGUGAGCUUCUUCAUGCAACUGGUUGGCUGUCAUCCAUUCUGUGAACAUUGUCUUUUCUAUGUUAGGCCGGGAUACAAUUUGAUCUAAAUCCAUUGAGUCCGGGAACACCACGACAUGUUCAUUUUCUAGGUGAAAUUGUAACCUUUCAACCGCAGGCUCUCUGUACUGAAGAGGAAACUGAAAUAUGCGCCAUGCGGCUUCACAUCCAGAUAUGUACCGGGCAUCAAGGUACCUCUUGAUUUCGUUGUCCCUGUUUGUUAAUUUGCUAGCUCUUGUUUCACUUUGCUGGUCUUCCGCUUCUAUCAAGACGGUUGUUUCGAUCUUCUCCUUUGUGGAUGUAUUUGAAUAAAUACUUUAUAGACCUUGAUCUGUUGCACCAUUCAACAUUUAUGUGGGCUUGAUACUUGACCAGUAGGUUUCUAUUGUAUGGCUGUCACGCCCAAGAUGUGACCCUAUCCUAAAGGAACUCGAAGGUCCCACAAAGGAUAGAAGCACAUCUUGAAGACGCUUUUGCAAGGUGGAUAUCAUUACAUCAACAUUACAUAAUAGAUGGGGAUACAUACAUAAGGCAUACAAUGCCACACGAAUACAUCAAUACAACAUACAUAAGAUCAACAUCCGACUACGGAUGAAACACAAACGGAAACUCAAACGACAUCCACCCUGCUAGCUCAGGCUGCCGACCUGGAACCUAUCCCCUGAUCGAAGAAGAAGCCGAAGAAGAACUCCAAAACAAGCAAGCAUCGCUCUCGCAUCAAGAUCAUCGCAUAACCUGUACCUGCAACUGUUGUUGUAGUAAUCUGUGAGCCACGAGGACUCUGCAAUCCCAUUACCAUGGGUAUCAAGACUAGCAAAGCUUAAUGGGAAAGAAAGGGGGUAAAGUGGUGAGGUUGCAGCAGCGACUAAGCAUAUAUGGUGGCUAACAUACGCAAAUAAGAGCGAGAAGAGAAACAAUGGAACGGUUGUGAAGCUAGCAAUGAUCAAGAGGUGAUCCUGAACUCCUACUUACGUCAAACAUAACCCAAAACCGUGUUCUAUUUCCGGACUCCGCCGAAAAGAGACUAUCACGGCUACACACGCGGUUGAUGCGUUUUAAUUCGGAUCUGGUGUCAAGUUAUCUACAACCGGACAUUAAAAAAUUCUCAUCUGCCACAUAACCGCGGGCACGGCUCUCGAAAGUUUAUACCCUGCAGGGGUGUCCCAACUUAGCCCAUCACAAGCUCUCACGGUCAACAAAGGAUAUUCCUUCUCCCAAGAAGACCCGAUCAGUCUCGGAAUCCCGGUUUACAAGACAUUUUGACAAUGGUAAAACAAGACCAGCAAAGCCACCCGAAUGUGCCGACAAAUCUUGAUAGGAGCUAGACAUAUCUCGUUCUCAGGGAACACCGGAUUGUCCAAACUUCCGGUAGGCCAUCCCAGAGUUGCCCCUGGUGGCCACCGGCGGCUGAUAGGUUGGACCAACACUCAUGACGAGCACUGGCCCGGGGGGGGGGGUAAAUAAAAAUGACCCUCGGGCUCCGGAAACCCAAGGGGAAAAGGGCUAGGUGAGGCAAAUGGUAAAACCAAGGUUGGGCCUUGCUGGAGGAGUUUUAUUCAAAGAAAACUGUCAAGGGGGUCCCAUAAAUCACCCAACCGCGUAAGGAACGAUAAAUCCGGGAACAUAACACCGGUAUGACGGAAACUAGGGCGGCAAGAGUGGAACAAAACACCAGGCAUAAGGCCGAGCCUUCCACGCUUUACCAAGUAUAUAGAUGCAUUAAUUAAAUAAGAGAUAUUGUGAUAUCCCAACAUAACCCUAUCCAUCAUGGAGCAAUCUUCAACUUCACCUGCAACUAACAAUGCUAUAAGAGGGGCUGAGCAAAGCGGUAACAUAGCCAAGCAAUGGUUUGCUAGGAAGGGUGAAAAGGUUAGGGGCUGACAUGGCAAUUUGGGAGGCUUGAAGAUCAAAUGAUAGAUAGUGCAGCAUAGCGAUAGAAUGAAGCAACUAGCAUAGCAAUGAUAGUAGUGAGAUCUAGGGUAGCGGUCAUCUUGCCUGAAAUCCCGCUAGGAAGAAGAAUGAGUCGAUGAGGUAGACGAACCAACGUAGUCGAACGAAUCCUCACAACUCUGGAACGAAACCGAAGCUAACGAGAGAAGCAACCCGGAAAGAAGAAAAAAAUAUGGUAAACAACCAUCACAAAGACAUGGCAUGAUGCACAAUCAAGUAUGAUGCAUGUCCGGUUUAAUGAGGCAUGGCAUGGCAAAGUGCAACAAACAAUACUACAAGUUAAGUGGAGCUCAAUAUGCAACGAGUUGCAUAUUGACAAAACACCACAUUGACAUAUUUAGUUUAAUCUUGUUUAAGCUACCAAACAAUAUUAAAUGUUGUUAAACAUGGCAAGAGGUGAAGCAUAAUAAAACUACCUAUCUAGGCAAGUUUAAAUGAGGCCGGAACAACGAACAACAAUUCCGAAAAAUCCUCAUGUCCACAUUUCGAAUUUGGUACUGUUCUGCCCUAAAACAUAUUUUAAAGUUGUUAAACAGGAAAAUAAAGUGGACCAUGUUAAACUAGGCAUUUUCCCACCCCAUUUACAUAUAAAGAACAUUUAAAACCGAGCUACGGUUAUUUAGUAAUGAAAUAAAUCAUUUUAACAUGACAUUUAAGCAAAUUUAAACAAACAGCAUUUUGAGCAUUUUAAACAUGGAUGAAAGUGGCAUAUUAUUAAUCUACACAAAAUUCUAAGCAUUUUACAUAUAUAAAAUAUUUUAAUAUGAUGCACCGUUCAUGAGUUAUUAUAUGCAUGAUGUGCAAGUGGUUUCUGCAAAUCUGUUAAAUCACUGGAUAAAUAGCAAAUUUGCAAAACUGGGAAAAAACAUGGUACAGGCCGCAUCUGACUAGCCCAAUAGAGGAAAGGCCAAUGGGGCUGCUCACCCUGGGCCUUGGGCUGGUUGGUGGAGUAGAAGGGCUGGAAGGGGAGCUGGAUCGAACGAGGAGGCCAGAUCGGGUCAACGCAGCGAGCAGAGGCGCGGGACGAGCCGCUGGUUGACGCGGCCAAUGCGAGCACCUGCACCUGUGGACGAAGAAGGCACUAGCGGUGCAGUGGCAGGAAACAGGGGAAACGGCGGCGGCUUGGCGCUGGACUCGGCGCGGGCGUCUCGCAGCGAGAUCCGAAGAGGGGACGACGAGGAACGGCACAACGGAUCUGAUGGUUGGGCGGCCGGAGGAGGUCGAGGGCGGCUCGACUUGAGGCCAUGGCAGCGGCGUCCUGCGUUGAGAGACAGAGAGCGUAGCGUGAGGGAGGGAGAGAGAAACGAUAGUGAAGAAGAAGAAAGAGAGAAAGGAAGGAGGCAGAGGAGCUGCGCCAUGGUCUAGUCGGGUUCCGACGGCUGGCCACGGUGGCGUUUGGCGACGGGAGGCUCGGGCUCCUGGCGCCUUGGCCGUCAGGGUCCUGCGAUAGAGAGAGAGAUGUGAGAUCAGGAGAAAGAAGGAAGAGAAGGAGGGACCGAGGGAGAGGGCGCGGGGUCGGCCUGGGGCUGCUGCAGCGGCCGGCUCGAGGAGAGCUGCUGGUCUCAGGCGCGUGAGAAGGGAGGAGCUCGUGCGCGAGGGUCCUGGUGACGCAGUCGCCAGUGAUGGUGGAGGUGCUCCUCGGGGACGAACAAGCAGAGGAGGGGGAAACAAGGAGGGGAGGAGUCUGGUUGUGGUUGGUGGAUCGGGAGGGGAUGGAUCCCAAGGAAGAGGAUCGGUGGUGGCUGGUUGGCUCGGUGCUGAAACCAAGGAAGAGAGUGGCGGCGGCUAGGAGGAAUGAGGAGGAUGGGACAAGCUGCCUAAUUUCUAGGGUUGGAUCCCGUGUAUAUAUAGUAGGUGGAUUUGGCUAGGGGCUAUUUGGUCCCUCCGAUUGUAAUCGGACGGCCCGGAAUAAAUAGGCAUGAGCGUCCAAUUAAGAAAAAGGAGAUGUUUUGGGGAUGAUCUGCACCCAUCGGUAACAACAACCCGGGUCGGGUUCGGGACAACUUACAUAUGCGCACGAGGGGGACUGAGCAAAGUGUAGAGAGGGUGGGCAUUUAGACGAGAGGGGGAACAAAGACAAUGGGGUCUGUCGAAAGGCCACGGGGUCAAGGGGGUUUUGUUGGUCUCGGAGAAAGAGAGAAGAGAGGGGUCCAAAUGGUCUGCGAGAAGGUCAACAAAGGCAAAGCGGUCCGAGGAGGUCAACGAGGACAAGGGCCUGACAAAAUGCCAACAGAGGCAAAGAAAGAAAGGGCAACUGCGUACGGUUACGAGUUUUAUGAAAACAUAUGGAUGUGAUGCACAUAAUGCUAUGAGAUGAGAUGCAUGCCAUGAACAAAAUGCAAAACAAAAGACAAAAACCCAACCACGAAGGAAAUAUCAUAUCGCAUCUCCGGAAAAGGCAAGAGUUGGAGUUACGAAUAUGGAAAGUUGUAUCCGGGGCGUUACAACACUCCACCACUACGAGAGGAUCUCGUCCCGAGAUCUAGGAUGGCACCGGAGAGAAACGGAAGAGGAAGAGAAGAGGUAAAACUUAGUUGCUUCUUCGACAAAUGAGUGAAACCAUGAACCCUAAGAGGUUGCACAAAUUGAAAGAGAGAAUACAAGGGAGAUGAACGAGAUUGAAAACACUCCUUAAACACGAGGAACAAGCAACAUUAUGAGAACCUUGAAGGUUGCAAAGACAUGAAUCAAGAGUUUAAUGGACAAGAUAGCAUUCGAAACCACUCCGGUUAAAACAAGAUGAGAGAGGAAGAAUUCGGGCAGCACUCCGGUUGAACAUGGAAGGAAUAGAACAUGAACUUGAGAAGAUGGGAAGAUACUUGAUGAAAUCAACAACACACUGCCUCCGAAACUAUUGAAAGAAUGGCACAAUGGGUAAGAAGGAUUCCAGACAGCACUCGGGUUGAAAAGAAAGGCAAAACUUGAUAACUUGAAAGAACUUGAAUGAGAACACAACACUCCGGUUAAAUGGAUAAGCACGAAAAACAUGAUCCUCACAAUUCGAGAUGAUGAGCGAAGAGAGCAACAUCACCAUGCCUCCGUAAGAAAAAAUAGAAGAUAGAUCAUUGGAAUAAAGGAAUGGAGAAGAAAUGCCAACUUCUGCCACAAAUGAGCUUGGAAAGCACCCUUCCGAGAAGGUUAUAAUGGAGUUGUUGGAAAACCCACAACGAAACGAAUAAGCUUGUAGUGGGCUUAUGGAAAACAUCUCAAGACUAUGAGGUGACAACCGGCCACUAAUGGAAACCAUUGAUUUGAUUGAGAGCACCAAAGAGAAGAAAAACUUCUUCACCGAGAUGAGAAGGAGAAAAAUGGAUCAUUGAUAAGCACCACAAAUAGCUACAUUCCUUAGGGAAGGCUGUAGGUGAGAUAUAACCCAAUAUAACUCCAACAAAAGAUUGAUUGGUUGAAAAGAUCUCUUGAACGAACAGAAAAUGAUGGAUUUAAAUAUGUCAGUCUUGAAAACUUGUGAAUCAUGAAACACGAAGGAAAAUUAUCAAGAAUGGCAUAACACCAUCUCAAGAGAUAAGGUAGAAAGAAUUGCACUUCGAAAUGCAAGAAGAAGAAUACUUGAACUCCUAACAAAAAAACAUGUGUUGAGCACCAUGUUUAUUUUUGAGUAUAGCUUGGUGGAUCUUAGUUUCGAGGGAAAUCUUGAAGAACAAUUAAAGAAUGAAAGAAUCCUUGACGAACCACCAUGUAGAUCCUCCAUGAAGAACUCUGGUAAUAAAAUGGUGAUAGAAAGAAAGAGAACUUGAAAACACAAGGUGAAGCCUUGCAAUGAUUUAGAUGAAGCUUUGCAACCAUAUAACUGAGAAAACUUGGAACUCCGGAAAUAAAAGAAUUGAAUCACCUCGAGGAAAUAAGAAUAAGAUUUAUUGUAUGCUUAUCCUUCAUCAAAUUAAAUUGAUGACAAGCAAUGGAUUUGGCAUACUACUUAUUCCCGUAGAAAGGAUUAAAAGAGAUAUAGCGCGAACUUGAGAAGGUAUUGAUGGAACCACCGGUGGAAUUUGGAAACAACGAAUGAAUUAAUAUGAUAAGGAAGGAAGUGAAAUCUUGAACGAACCACCGUAAAAAUUGGAAAAGAGAGUAGCAAGGGAACAAUUCACCGAAAAGAAUAGGAAAACGAAUGAAGAUACUUGAGGGGAUUUAGAUACAUGAGAACAAAGAGGCCAUGAACUGAUUAGAGGUUACUUGAACAAUGCACCGGUAAGAUUUGGAGAACGAUAGCUACACACUGAGAAUGAAGAAUUAUGACAUGAUGGCCUUCAGAGGAAAGAAAUGGAAAAAAACUCAUGAAAUGCUCCGGAUGGUAAGAAAAGAAUCCUCAUAGUCGAAAACAAUUAUGAGAGGAUGGCAUCAAGCUUGAACUACGCAUCUUUGGAAGAACGGGUAAGGAUUUAAGAGGAACUCUUGUUCGGUCUUCAAAAUCCGAGAAUGACGAUGAGAAACACCACCAUGAAUUGUUGAGAUACUCCGGGAGAAUUAAAAGAGGAAAGGUUGAGCCAAAGAUGAAAAGAAUUUGAAAACGACCUUGGAGAAGGCAUGUGACUGAUGAAAAUUCAUUCUUACGUCAAACUUGGAAAUGAAUUUGGGAAUAGCUCCUGAAUAAUUUGAAGAGUCAGGUAAGAUCCUGGGAAAAGACUUGUAGGUUAGGGCCCACUAAAAAGAAACACGCCGUUGAAAAUGAUUUUAAAGAGAGAUUGCACCGGUUGAAUUAAAUGGCUUGAAUGAGAUAACAAUCUCCAAAUAGCUUGAACGGAUUAAGAAUGGAAACACAAAUCUUCUGAGAUAUCUUCAACACUCUGGAACAAAUGAAUAGCAAGAGGUGAGUGAUUGAGAGGUGCACCGGCAUGAGAAAGCAUUUGACACGAGGAAAGGAAUAUGAACAACACUGAAGGCUUGAAUUGGAUCCACCGGAGAAGAAAAAAAGAACGAAGGAUGAUGAACUUGAAGCUCGUGAGCAUCUUCACGAGGGAUCACCGGAUCAAAACAUUGAUUGAAAAGAGUGAAGAGACUUCACAUGAAUAAAUGGAUACUUGAUUAAGAAAUCUGAGUCCUUGAAGAAAAAGGGUGGGAGGGCGGGAAAACAAAGGCAGCUUGGGGCAGAUGAAAUGGAUACCGUUGAGAAAAACUUAGAAUUCAUCUUGCGGAUGUUGAAAUGAUCGGAUCCACUUGAAGAGAAGCACACCGGUCGGAAAGAAUUGACGUGAAAACCUCAAUGAUCAAGAAGGAUUAGUAUUCACAUAGCAAUAUGAGAACACCGUUUAGAAAAGGUAUGGAAUCAACACUUGGCAUUGAAGCAACUCAAAUACCACAACUCAAAACAAAACAAAGGAUUGGCUUGCAGAAAUAAGCCGGAACAAAUACAUAUGAUAGAGAUUUACCCAAUCCCAUAUCAGGCAUCUGUCGGAAAGAUAUUCUAGGAGCUACUUGAAUUCACACCUAUAAACUCCUGAAACUUUCUGGUUAUGCAAUCUGGUGUUGGAGAUACAGGGGAAGCAAUAUAUCUCACCCAAACUAACAAUCCCUACAUCCAGCUGUAUCCAUCCGUCAACACAUAACCAAGAAAACUCCGAAAAUCGUGUACCUCAACCUUCGAAAAGCAUCUGUUAUACGAGCUAUGGCAAUACUCCCGAACUCCCCAGUACUGGGUGGCGUCGAGGUUAUCUCACCAACAACUGCAUAAAAGAGAUUUUCGAUGUCGGCAAAACUCAGGUAUUCCAGAACUGCAACGAUAAAAUUGUGAUGACAACACCUCGGAGCUCAACUCCCCGGGACACUGCCACAACUCCUAAAUGUCAGGAGGCACCAAGAACAAUGUUCUCGUCACAAGACUAUCGGAACGAUCCCAAGAUACCCGCGUGAUCCUAAAUUUUUUUUAGUGAAAUUUGAGGAGAAGAAAGACAAAUCAUCUAUGUCAGGAGUCCUCACCAGAGCGAUGAAGGGGGCUGAGGAGUAAAAAGAAUCCUACUCUCUGAUAUAUAUAAUCCAAAGACUCAAAAUAGUUUUCUUCUAGACUCAACAACGGCCAACAAUCAAGGGGGCUCCUGUGGUCGGUCGAGGCUCUGAUACCAACUUGUCAUGUCCAAGAUGCGACCCUAUCCUAAAGGAACUCGAAGGUCCCACCAAGGAUAGAAGCGCAUCUUGAAGAUGCUUUUGCAAGGUGGAUAUCAUUACAUCAACAUUACAUAAUAGAUGGGGAUACAUAUAUAAGGCAUACAAUGCCACACGAAUACAUCAAUACAACAUACAUAAGAUCAACAUCCGACUACGGAUGAAACACAAACAGAAACUCAAACGACAUCCACCCUGCUAGCCCAGGCUGCCGACUUGGAACCUAUCCCCUGAUCGAAGAAGAAGCAGAAGAAGAACUCCAAAUCAAGCAAGCAUCGCUCUCGCGUCAUGAUCAUGGCAUAACAUGUACCUGCAACUGUUGUUGUAGUAAUCUGUGAGCCACGAGGACUCAGCAAUCCCAUUACCAUGGGUAUCAAGACUAGCACAGCUUAAUGGGAAAGAAAGGGGGUAAAGUGGUGAGGUUGCAGCAGCGAAUAAGCAUAUAUGGUGGCUAACAUACGCAAAUAAGAGCGAGAAGAGAAACAAUGGAACGGUCGUGAAGCUAGCAAUGAUCAAGAGGUGAUCCUGAACUCCUACUUACGUCAAACAUAACCCAAAACCGUGUUCACUUCCCAGACUCUGCCGAAAAGAGACCAUCACUGUUACACACGCGGUUGAUGCGUUUUAAUUGAGAUCUGGUGUCAAGUUAUCUACAACUGGACAUUAACAAAUUCCCAUCUGCCACAUAACCGCGGGCACGGCUCUCGAAAGUUUAUACCCUGCAGGGGUGUCCCAACUUACCCCAUCACAAGCUCUCACGGUCAACGAAGGAUAUUCCUUCUCCCAGGAAGACCCGAUCAGUCUCGGAAUCCCGGUUUACAAGACAUUUUGACAAUGGUAAAACAAGACCAGCAAAGCCGCCCGAAUGUGCCGACAAAUCCUGAUAGGAGCUCCACAUAUCACGUUCUCAGGGCACACCGUAUUGUCCAAACUUCCGGUAGGCCAUACUAGAGUUGCCCCUGGUGGCCACCGGCGGCUGACAGGUUGGACCAACACUCACGACGAGCACUGGCCCAGGAGGGUAAAUAAAGAUGACCCUCGGGCUCCGGAAACCCAAGGGGAAAAGGGCUAGGUGAGGCAAAUGGUAAAACCAAGGUUGGGCCUUGCUGGAGGAGUUCUAUUCAAAGCGAACUGUCAAGGGGGUCCCAUAAAUCACCCAACUGCGUAAGGAACGCAAAAUCCAGGAACAUAACACCGGUAUGACGGAAACUAGGGCGACAAGAGUGGAACAAAACACCAGGCAUAAGGCCGAGCCUUCCACCCUUUACCAAGUAUAUAGAUGCGUUAAUUAAAUAAGAGAUAUUGUGAUAUCCCAACAUAACCCUGCCCAUCAUGGAGCAAUCUUCAACUUCACCUGCAACUAACAACGCUAUAAGAGGGGCUGAGCAAAGCGGUAACAUAGCCAAGCAAUGGUUUGCUAGGAAGGGUGAAAAGGUUAGGGGCUGACAUGGCAAUUUGGGAGGCUUGAAGAGCAAAUGAUAGGUAGCGCAGCAUAGCGAUAGAACGAAGAAACUAGCAUAGCAAUGAUAGUAGUGAGAUCCAGGGUAGCGGUCAUCUUGCCUGAAAUCCCGCUAGGAAGAAGAAUGAGUCGAUGAAGUAGACGAACCAACAUAGUCGAACGAAUCCUCACAACUCCGGAAUGAAACCGAAGCUAACGAGAGAAGCAACCCGGAAAGAAGCAAACAAUAUGGUAAACAACCAUCACAAAGACAUGGCAUGAUGCACAAUCAAAUAUGAUGCAUGUCUAGUUUAAUGAGGCUUGGCAUGGGAAAGUACAACAAACAAUACUACAAGUUAAGUGGAGCUCAAUAUGCAACGAGUUGCAUAUUGACAAAACACCACAUUGACAUAUUUAGUUUAAUCUCGUUUAAUCUACCAAACAAUAUUAAAUGUUGUUAAACAUGGCAAGAGGUGAAGCAUAAUAAAACUACCUAUCUAGGCAAGUUUAGAUGAGGCCGGAACAACGAACAACAAUUCCGAAAAAUCCUCAUGCCCACAUUUCGAAUUUGGUACUGUUCUGCCCUAAAACAUAUUUUAAACUUGUUAAACAGGAAAAUAAAGUGGACCAUGUUAAACUAGGCAUUUUUUCACCCCAUUUACAUAUAAAGAACAUUUAAAACCGAGCUACGGUUAUUUAGUUAUGAAAUAAAAUAUUUUAACAUGGCAUUUAAGCAAAUUUAAACAAACAACAUUUUGAGCAUUUUAAACAUGGAUGAAAGUGGCAUAUUAUUAAUCUACACAGAAUUCUAAGUAUUUUACAUAUAUAAAAUAUUUUAAGAUGAUGCACGGUUCAUGAGUUAUUAUAUGCAUGAUGUGCAAGGGGGUUUCUGCAAAUCUGUUAAAUCACUGGAUAAAUAGCAAAUUUGCAGAACUAGGAAAAAACAUGGUACAUGCCGCAUCUGACUAGCCCAAUAGAGGAAAGGCCAGUGGGGCUGCUCACCCUGGGCCUUGGGCCGGUCGGUGGAGUAGAAGGGCUGGAAGGGGCACUGCAUCGAACGAGGAGGCCAGAUCGGGUCAACGCAGCAAGCAGAGGUGCGGGACGAGCCGCUGGUUGACACGGUCAAUGCGAGCACCUGCGCGUGUGGACGAAGAAGGAAGCAGCGGUGCAGCGGCAGGAAACAGGGGCAACGGCGGCGGCUUGGCACUGGACUCGGCGCGGGCGUCUCGCAGCGAGAUCCGAAGAGGGGACAACAAGGAACAGCGGAACGGAUCUGAUGGUUGGGCGAUCGGAGGAGGCCGAGGGCAGCUCGACUUGAGGCCAUGGCAGCGGCGUCCUGUGUUAAGAGACAGAGAGCGUAGCGUGAGGGAGGGAGAGAGAAACGACAGUGAAGAAGAAGAAAGAGAGAAAGGAAGGAGGCAGAGGAGCUGCGGCAUGGUCCACUCGGGUUCCGGCGGCUGGCCACGGUGGCGUUUGGCGAUGGGAGGCUCGGGCUCCUGGUGCCUUGGCCGUCAGGGUCCUGUGAUAGAGAGAGAUGUGAGAUCAGGAGAAAGAAGGAAGAGAAGGAGGGACCGAGGGAGAGGGCGCGGGGUCGGCCUGGGGCUGCUGCUGUGGCCGGCUCGAGGAGAGCUGCUGGUCUCAAGCGCGUGAGAAGGGAGGAGCUCGUGCGUGAGGGUCCUGGUGACGCGGCUGCCGACGACGGUGGAGGCGCUUCUUGGGGACGAACGAGCAGAGGAGGGGGAAACGAGGAGGGGAGAAGUAUGGUUGUGGUUGGUGGAUCGGGAGGGGAUGGAUCCCAAGGAAGAGGAUCGGUGGUGGCUGGUUGGCUCGGCGCUAAAACCAAGGGAGAGAGUGGCAGCGGCUAGGAGGAAUGAGGAGGAUGGGACAAGCUGCCUAAUUUCUAGGGUUGGAUCCCGUGUAUAUAUAGUAGGUGGAUUUUGCUAGGGACUAUUUGGUCCCUCCGAUCGUAAUCGGACGGCCCGGAAUAAAUAGGCUAGAGCGUCCAAUUAAGAAAACGGAGAUGUUUUGGGGAUGAUCUGCACCCAUCGGUAACAACAACCCGGGUCAGGUUCGGGACAGCUUACGGACGCGCGCGAGGGGGACUGAGCAAAGUGUAGAGAGGGUGGGCAUUUAGACGAGAGGGGGAAACAAAGACAAUGGGGUCUGCCAAAAGGCCACGGGGUCAAGGGGGUUUUGUUGGUCUCGGAUAAAGAGAGAAGAGAGGGGUCCAAAUGGUCUGCGAGAAGGUCAACAAAGGCAAAGCGGUCCGAGGAGGUCAACGAGGACAAGGUCCUGACAAAAUGCCAACGGAGGCAAAGAAAGAAAGGGCAACUGCGAAUGGUUACGAGUUUUAUAAAAAAAUAUGGAUGCGGUGCACAUAAUGCUAUGAGAUGAGAUGCAUGCCAUGAACAAAAUGCAAAACAAAAGACAAAUACCCAACCACGAAGGAAAUAUCAUAUCGCCUCUCCGGAAAAGGCAAGAGUUGGAGUUACGAAUAUGGAAAGUUGUAUCCGGGGCGUUACAAUGGCACAACAAAUCUAUUGUCUUGCUUCACUCCAUUUUUGUCCACAGUGUUGCCAUCAUCUCGCCUUCUAUAUACUGGAUAGUUAUCUUCAUCUAUGGUAGUCUCAGUGCAAAAAUUCUUGGGGAAAUGUUUGGCACAACUUUUAUCGACCAUGCAUGGUGAUUUGGGGUGUGCUUGACCACAUGGACCAUGUAUCUUGUAAUUUUGCACUGCUUCAUACCCUUCUGGAUCACUAUUCUUAUCAGGAAUUUCGGCUGAUAUGAUUUUGUCGAUCUGGGAAGGACUUGGAUCUUUAUCAUCUGGGUGUAGAAACACCAGUAUGUGUGCAUGCGGGAGGCCUCUUUUCUAGAACUCUAUAGUGUAGACAACUGUAUGAAAGUAAACAAAUUUGAGAAGAAAUGAGUUAGGACAAUCAUCUAGGAAAGAGUGAAUAUGUACUUAUUAGGUAAACUUACUUGCAAUUGUUUGUCGAAAACACUUUUCGUUCUUUAUGUCAUUCAUAAGUUCCUUCAGUUUUAACAUGAAUACUCUGGCAACAAUAUCUGGACGAUCUUCAGGUUUCUGGCCUGGAAUCAGAUCCAACAUAUCUUGUAUUUCCAGCCAUUUUGGAUUGCAUGUAAAAGUAAGGAAGAGAUCAGGAUAGCCAGCCCAACGACAAAUCGCCAUGGCAUCUUGGUAGUUUUGCUGCUUAUUUCUUGGACUGCCAUUAUAUGAUGAGGGUAGUAUGAUUCUUUUCGGUUCGUGUAUCUCCAUUUUCUAUUGCAUCAUGCAGUCCUCUGUACAGUUCUGUCCUCAACUUACCUUGGUUUGUCCUGUACCAAUUUCGUCUCCACUGUUCAAUGUACGUUGCUACAUCAACUAAGAACUGCAGGAACAAACGUCCACUCAUUUGCAAUGUUGAAGCUUGGUUUAGACGUUGUUGUAUGCGAUACACAUAAAACUCCAGCAUUGUUACAUACUUUCUUUUACCUUUGCUACCUCUUUUUUCUCAUACUCUAUUUCUGGUCUGAAACCAUCUUCUCCAUAUGGAAAAAGCAAGGGGUACUGCAUUGACAUUUAGCUUGGGUGCAACUCUGAAAUCCUCUGUAACAUUCUGUCUUUGGUCUCAACUGUUAUAUCAAAUUCAUUAUUUUCUCCAUCUUGUUCCCCAAUAAUUAGUGCUGCGACUUUUGAGGCAGAUGGUAGGUUGUAUUGCCGUCCAUCUUUCGACCUUUUGUUGAUCAAUCUUAGUCUUACAUCUUUAAUACGUCAGUUUUGGAAUCUGUCCCUUGCCAUAUGAAAUGAUUUGAGUAAAACAUUGUGCUCAUCAAGCAUCUCCAGUAGUCCUUUGACAAUGUUUUCAUCUGGUUGUGUCUUACUCUCCGUUGAAGCAGAUGCAUUAAUCCUAUUCUGCACUUCAUUUUCUAUGUCAUGUAUGUACAAUUGGGCAAAUUUUGGCUUCGUCACGUCAUCUUUAGGAAGUAAAGUGCCAAUAUGAUGGUAAUUCUGGCCAUUCAAACGGAAAACAUACGGUCCAGAUGCCUGCUUAUUAAUUUCAUAGUCAACCUUUCCUCCCAUUGAAGUGAAUGCGAACAUCGAGUUGUACAACCUGAUGUUCUUGCGGAAAUUUGAUGAUUCUCCUCUUUCAUUGUAACGUAGUAGCUGUCGGAGAUACAGCGGAGCUUGUUUCAGUGGUGGUAAUUUAACUUUCCCUUCCUUGCAGCAGAGACCAAAUUGUGGAACUGUGAUGUUACCUGUGCUUGUGCUUCUCUCUCCAUGCCACAUAAUGGCAUUGCAAAAUUCAGAAACACAAUUUGGUUUUCCCAGAUAUGAAAUUUGAGUGACAUCCUUCGCUACAUGAGAUACUUCACAGUCAUUGCCCUUUGCUGUCCUUAGUCGUUUGCUUGCCUUUUUCAGCUUGAGGAUCUCUUUCCUUUUCCGCCUAGCUUCCUUUGCUGCUGCUCUAAUGAUGUCUGAUUGACUAUCAUUAGAUUAGAGUGUUGCUAGUUUGGAGGCUGCUUGCUCAGGUAUUUAGAUUCCUUGAUGAUGCCACAUAUUCCUGCAUUUUAUUGUUUUUAUCACUUUAAUAAUCCAAGUAAAUUAAUAUUUAUAUGAUUAUUUUUGGUACUGUGGUAAUGAACACCUUCCGUUGUUUUGAUUUGCUCUAGUGCGUGUUUGACACAUGUUGACUGCGGCUAGUGAAUCCUGAAAUAAAUGAGGUAAAAGGUGUAACUGAUUUUAUUCUGAGAUAUAAGUGAGAACAUCUUAUACUUAACUGAUUUUAUUUGUCUAGAAAUUCAGAAUUGUUGAUGAUAAAUUUAAUGUAAACAUGUCAGGCACCACAUUGUUUGCAAGGAUGCUGAAGGUAUUUGUAUGGAACAGAUAGUUUCCUGAUAAGAUUCUUUUUCAUAUGGAUUGUUUUCCAAUAGAGGAUUUUAAAUCGUCUAAAAUCAUUAUUCUAUUGUGAAAGAAGGAUACUUGUGUUGUCACCUUCCGAUGAGAGGACGUAUAUGCUCUGUAAUUGGUGAUCAGAAUCUCAAUUUUAUCGCCACUUUCUCUCUGUAAUUCAAGUUAAUACAAAGCAUGUGUAAUGAGAUCGGAGAGUUGAUGUAUAUAUUAAUCAUUGCAGGAGACAUGCAUAUAUUAUUUGUGGAAGGAGAUAAUGAACAUUGGCUGCAAGUACUGCCACACAACCUGUCUGCUCCUUGUUGCUUGCGAGAGGAGGGCAAUGUCUUGCCGGGAUGUGCACGCUCUGUAAUUGGUGAUCUGAAUCUCAAGUUUAUCGGCGCUUUCUCUCUGUAAUUCAAGUUAAUACAAAGCAUGUGUAAUGAGAUCAGAGAGUUAAUGCAUAUAGUAUUAAUCAUUGCAAGGAGACAUUCAUGUAUUAUUUGUGGAAGGAGAUAAUGAACAUUACCUGCAAGUACUGCCACACAACCUGUCUGCUCCUUGUUGCUGGCGAGAGGACUAAUUAUUGCAUGUAUGUGAUGAAGGACGAGAUCGGGAGCGGUGUCUUGCCUGGAUGUGCACGAAUUGAGUCGAUAUAGAAUUCUUAUUUGUAAAGAAGCAUAGUUAAGGCUAGAGUUUGUAGGUUAGAGUUUGUCAUCUGUACGUUUUAAACCUAUACAAUAUCUGAGCCGUUAUUAUUUUGUGUCAGCAGAUAGAUAGCUCCUACUUGAAGUCAGUUUCCAUGUAUACUACAAUAUAUGCACGUCUCUGUUUCUUACACGUCUUGUCUACAC
Molecule: long non-coding RNA, 18879 nt
Filed under: Triticum aestivum (bread wheat)
Lineage: Eukaryota; Viridiplantae; Streptophyta; Magnoliopsida; Poales; Poaceae
Description: long non-coding RNA (TAES_LNC007279)
Source: RNAcentral